This 458-nucleotide ribosomal RNA is filed under the name uncultured bacterium. Its description in RNAcentral is "partial 16S ribosomal RNA". It matches the Rfam family "Bacterial small subunit ribosomal RNA", at positions 338 to 795 of the family's 1533-position model. The record is from RNAcentral.
CCUACGUGUGGCAGCCGUGAGGAAUAUUGGUCAAUGGGCGAGAGCCUGAACCAGCCAAGUCGCGUGAGGGAGUACUGCCCUAUGGGUUGUAAACCUCUUUUGUCGGGGAGCAAAAGCCGGACGUGUCCGGCUGUGAGAGUACCCGAAGAAAAAGCAUCGGCUAACUCAGUGCCAGCAGCCGCGGUAAUACGGGGGAUGCGAGCGUUAUCCGGAUUUAUUGGGUUUAAAGGGUGCGCAGGCGGUUUUUUAAGUCAGCGGUCAAAUCGUGGGGCUCAACCCCAUCCAGCCGUUGAAACUGGCGUUCUUGAGUAGGCGAGAAGUAUGCGGAAUGCGUGGUGUAGCGGUGAAAGGCAGAGAUAUCACGCAGAACUCCGAUUGCGAAGGCAGCAUACCGGCGCCCAACUGACGCUGAAGCACGAAAGCGUGGGUAUCGAACAGGAUUAGAUACCCGAGUAGUC